RNAcentral lists this transfer RNA (68 nucleotides) under Argulus japonicus. Its description in RNAcentral is "tRNA-Gln". It matches the Rfam family "tRNA". From Rfam's summary of the family: Transfer RNA (tRNA) molecules are approximately 80 nucleotides in length. Lineage: Eukaryota; Metazoa; Arthropoda; Ichthyostraca; Arguloida; Argulidae. The record is from RNAcentral.
UAUGUUUUGGUGUACGCGCACAAUGAAUUUUGAAUUCAUUAGAAGCAGUUCGAGUCUGUUAAUCAUGG